This 549-nucleotide ribosomal RNA is filed under the name uncultured bacterium. RNAcentral's name for it is "partial 16S ribosomal RNA". It matches the Rfam family "Bacterial small subunit ribosomal RNA", at positions 355 to 896 of the family's 1533-position model. The record is from RNAcentral.
UGGGGAAUUUUGGACAAUGGGCGCAAGCCUGAUCCAGCCAUGCCGCGUGCGGGAAGAAGGCCUUCGGGUUGUAAACCGCUUUUGUCAGGGAAGAAAUCUUCUGAGUUAAUACCUCGGGAGGAUGACGGUACCUGAAGAAUAAGCACCGGCUAACUACGUGCCAGCAGCCGCGGUAAUACGUAGGGUGCAAGCGUUAAUCGGAAUUACUGGGCGUAAAGCGUGCGCAGGCGGUUUUGUAAGACAGAGGUGAAAUCCCCGGGCUCAACCUGGGAACCGCCUUUGUGACUGCAAGGCUUGAGUGCGGCAGAGGGGGAUGGAAUUCCGCGUGUAGCAGUGAAAUGCGUAGAUAUGCGGAGGAACACCGAUGGCGAAGGCAAUCCCCUGGGCCUGCACUGACGCUCAUGCACGAAAGCGUGGGGAGCAAACAGGAUUAGAUACCCUGGUAGUCCACGCCCUAAAACGAUGUCAACUGGUUGUUGGGAAGGUUCCUUCUCAGUAACGUAGCUAACGCGUGAAGUUGACCGCCUGGGGAGUACGGCCGCAAGGUUG